RNAcentral lists this ribosomal RNA (378 nucleotides) under uncultured bacterium. RNAcentral describes it as "bacterial SSU rRNA". It matches the Rfam family "Bacterial small subunit ribosomal RNA", at positions 28 to 428 of the family's 1533-position model. The record is from RNAcentral.
AGCGAACGCUAGCGGCGGGCUUAACACAUGCAAGUCGAGCGCGUGGCUUCGGCCACGAGCGGCGAACGGGUGAGUAACACGUAGGUCAUCUGCCCUUUGGUGGGGAAUAACCCGAGGAAACUCGGGCUAAUACCGCAUACUGCCUUCGGGUCAAAGGCUUCGGCCGCCAGAGGAUGAGCCUGCGUCGCAUUACCUAGUUGGUGGGGUAAUGGCCCACCAAGGGGACGAUGCGUAGCUGGUCUGAGAGGAUGAUCAGCCACACUGGGACUGAGACACGGCCCAGACUCCUACGGGAGGCAGCAGUGGGGGAAUAUUGCGCAAUGGGGGAAACCCGUAGACGCAGCCACGCCGCGUGGGUGAUGAAGGCCUCGGUUGUAA